RNAcentral lists this long non-coding RNA (1837 nucleotides) under Lonchura striata (white-rumped munia). RNAcentral describes it as "domestica (Bengalese finch) lncRNA (ENSLSDG00000003929.1)". Lineage: Eukaryota; Metazoa; Chordata; Aves; Passeriformes; Estrildidae. The record is from RNAcentral.
GCGUGUGUUUAUGUGUCAUUAGCGUGUGGGUCCGUGGCCCCGGUGUCUCAGGUGUGCUCAGAGCUCUCUCACGUGUUCGUUGUGUGUUCGACGUGCACACGUGAGCUCCAGGUGUGGGUCGUGUCCUUGGCUCACCCUCAGCGUGUCCAGGUGUGUUUCACCUCCACCAGGUGUGUUCCCUGUCCAGGUGUUUCCAUGUCCAGGUGUGUUCCAUGUCCAGGUGUGUUCCCUGUCCAGGUGUUUUAGGCAUGGUUUUGGUGUGUUUUUUGUGUGUUUUAGGCAUGAUUUUGGUGUGUUACUUGUGUGUUUUUGGACAUGGUUUUGGUGUGUUUUUUGUGUGUUUUAGGCAUGGUUUUGCCGUGUUCUUGCCGUGGUUUUUGUGCAUUCCUGCCGUGUUUUUUGCAUGUUUCUGCCAUGUUUUUUGCAUGAUUUUGCCGUGUCCCUGCUGUGUUCCUGCCCUGUUUUUGCCAUGGUUUUUAACAUGUUUCUGCCAUGUUUUUGGUGUGUCUUUGCAUGGUUUUGUCCGUGUUUUUCCUGUGUUCCUACCCCGUUCCUGCCCUGGUUUUGCCUUGUUUUUGCAUGUUUUUGUCCAUGUUUUUGCCGUGUUCCUGCCAUGUUCCCGCCGUGUUUUUCCCCUGUUUUUGGUGUGGUUUUGCCAUGUUCCUGCAGUGUUUUUGUCCAUGUUUUUGCCGUGUUCCUGCCCUGUUUUCGCCAUGUAUUUUGUGUAUUUUUGGUGUGUUCCUGCCGUGGUUUUUUGCAUGUUUUUAUCCAUGUUCUUGCCAUGUUCCUGCCAUGUUUUUGCUGCGGUUUUGGUGUGUUUUUGCCCUGGUCCUGCUGUGUUUUUGCCGUAUUUUUGUCCAUGUUUUUGCCGUGUUCCUGCCCUGUUUUUGUCCAUGUUUGUGCUAUGUCCUUGCUGUGGUUUUGCUGUGGUUUAGGUGUUUUUGCCAUGUUCCUGCUGUGGUUUUGCCAUGGUUUUGGUGUGUUUUUGUGUGUUCCUGCCCUGUUUUGUCCAUGUUUGUGCCAUGUCCCUGCCGUGUCCCUGCCAUGUUUUUGCCGUGUUCCUGCCCUGUUUGUGUCUGUGUUUGUGCCAUGUCCCUGCCGUGUUUGUGCCGUGUUUGUGCCGUGUCCCUGCCGUGUCUGUGCCGUGUCCCUGCCAUGUUUUUGCCACGUCCCUGCCGUGUCUGUGCCGUGUCCCUUCCGUGUUUUUGCCGUGUCCCUGCCAUGUUUUUGCUGUGUUCCUGCCGUGUUCCUGCCCUGUUUGUGUCUGUGUUUUUGCUGUGUCCCUGCCGUGUUUGUGCCAUGUCCCUGCUGUGUUCCUGCCGUGUUCCUGACGUGUUCCUGCCCUGGUUUUGUCCAUGUUUUUGCCGUGUCCCUGCUGUGUUCCUGCCGUGUUCCUUCCCUGUUUGUGCCGUGUUUUUGCCGUGUCCCUGCCGUGUUUGUGCCGUGUUCCUUCCCUGUUUGUGCCGUGUUUUUGCCAUGUCCCUGCCAUGUUUGUGCCGUGUCCCUGCCGUGUUUGUGCCGUGUUCCUUCCCUGUUUGUGCCGUGUUUUUGCCAUGUCCCUGCUGUGUUCCUGCCAUGUCCUUCCCUGUUUGUGUCCGUGUCUGUGCCGUGUCCCUGCCGUGUCUGUGCCGUGUCCCUGCCGUGUUCCCGUGCCGUGUCCCGGUGCCGGUGCCGUGCCCGGCCGUUCCCUCGGGCGGCUCCGCCGGCGGCUGCAAAGCAAAGCUGGGGGAGGGGCCGGGGGGUUCCGGGGGUCCCGCGACGGCGCCUGGGGAGAGACGGGGUCACCCCAACCCCCCCGGGACCCCCGGGGCAGCCCGGGGCUCACGGCGCCGGGACG